RNAcentral lists this ribosomal RNA (433 nucleotides) under uncultured bacterium. RNAcentral describes it as "partial 16S ribosomal RNA". It matches the Rfam family "Bacterial small subunit ribosomal RNA", at positions 29 to 507 of the family's 1533-position model. The record is from RNAcentral.
AACGAACGCUGGCGGCAGGCCUAACACAUGCAAGUCGAGCGAGGACUUCGGUUCUAGCGGCGGACGGGUGAGUAACGCGUGGGAAUGUGCCCUUCUCUACGGAAUAGCCCUGGGAAACUGGGAGUAAUACCGUAUACGCCCUACUGGGGAAAGAUUUAUCGGAGAAGGAUCAGCCCGCGUUGGAUUAGGUAGUUGGUGGGGUAAUGGCCUACCAAGCCGUCGAUCCAUAGCUGGGUUGAGAGGAUGAUCAGCCACACUGGGACUGAGACACGGCCCAGACUCCUACGGGAGGCAGCAGUGGGGAAUCUUAGACAAUGGGGGCAACCCUGAUCUAGCCAUGCCGCGUGAGUGAUGAAGGCCUUAGGGUUGUAAAGCUCUUUCAGCUGGGAAGAUAAUGACGGUACCAGCAGAAGAAGCCCCGGCUAACUCCGUG